GCGUGCCUCGGCCUUCGAUUGGACCAGCCCUCGCCAGUGUUGUUUCGGUAUUCCUCGGCUCCUGCCCUUUUCCCUUCCCUCCCCCGGGCUUCCGCUUCCGGUUCUGACGGACAAUUCGGCCGUAACGAUGAUCGGGGACAUCCUGCUGUUCGGAACGCUGUUGAUGAACGCCGGGGCCGUGCUCAACUUUAAGCUGAAAAAGAAAGACACCGCGCAGGGCUUUGGAGAGGAGUCGCGGGAGCCCAGCACAGGUGACAACGUGCGGGAGUUCUUACUGAGCCUCAGAUACUUCCGGGUCUUCAUUGCCCUGUGGAACAUUUUCAUGAUGUUCUGCAUGAUCGUUCCCUCUUAGUCUGGAAGCUCCACGGAAACUUGUUGAGCAUCAUAGCAACAUGGACAGAUGGACAGCUGCACAUGAGGUGCCUUGGCUGUGAACUGAAUCCAGAUCUCCCACAUGGAAGGGGAGAAUUCCAUCACUUAACCACCAAUGCCUUAUUUUGAAAAUCUGCUGUUUGGCUCUUGAGCCUCCUGAUACGGACCUAGGAUCACACCUUCCCAGGUGUCGACUCUGCGCUCCUCUGUUCUGAUGACUUCAAGAAUGUUUUUGGAACAUUCCAGCGACCUGCCCAGAAAGUUCAAGUUCGUGGUGGGUGGAUAAAUGUU
Loxodonta africana (African savanna elephant) is the source of this 663-nucleotide RNA transcript. It is a transcript of the gene named small integral membrane protein 7, with no coding region annotated. The transcript has 6 exons. Lineage: Eukaryota; Metazoa; Chordata; Mammalia; Proboscidea; Elephantidae. The record is from RefSeq and is a predicted model, not a curated record.